Molecule: ribosomal RNA, 445 nt
Filed under: uncultured bacterium
Lineage: Bacteria
Description: partial 16S ribosomal RNA
Rfam family: Bacterial small subunit ribosomal RNA
Source: RNAcentral
GCCAGACUCCUACGGGAGGCAGCAGUGGGGGAUAUUGCACAAUGGGGGAAACCCUGAUGCAGCGACGCCGCGUGGGUGAAGAAGCGCCUCGGCGCGUAAAGCCCUGUCAGCAGGGAAGAAAAUGACGGUACCUGAAGAAGAAGCCCCGGCUAACUACGUGCCAGCAGCCGCGGUAAUACGUAGGGGGCAAGCGUUAUCCGGAUUUACUGGGUGUAAAGGGAGCGUAGACGGCAGUGCAAGUCCGGAGUGAAAGCCCGGGGCUCAACCCUGGGACUGCUCUGGAAACUGUAAAGCUGGAGUGCGGGAGGGGCAGGCGGAAUUCCUGGUGUAGCGGUGAAAUGCGUAGAUAUCAGGAGGAACACCGGCGGCGAAGGCGGCCUGCUGGACCGUAACUGACGUUGAGGCUCGAAAGCGUGGGGAGCAAACAGGAUUAGAUACCCUAGUA